CUACGGGGGGCUCCAGUGAGGAAUAUUGCACAAUGGGGGGAACCCUGAUGCAGCAACGCCGCGUGGAGGAUGACGCAUUUCGGUGUGUAAACUCCUUUUAUAUGUCAAGAAAAUGACGGUAGCAUAUGAAUAAGCACCGGCUAACUCCGUGCCAGCAGCCGCGGUAAUACGGAGGGUGCAAGCGUUACUCGGAAUCACUGGGCGUAAGGGACGCGUAGGCGGGUUGGAAAGUCAGGCGUGAAAUCCUACAGCUUAACUGUAGAACUGCACUUGAAACUUCUAAUCUAGAGUAUGGGAGGGGGAGAUGGAAUUAGUGGUGUAGGGGUAAAAUCCGUAGAUAUCACUAGGAAUACCUAAAGCGAAGGCGAUCUCCUGGAACAUUACUGACGCUAAGGCGUGAAAGCGUGGGGAGCAAACAGGAUUAGAUACCCUCGUAGUC
RNAcentral lists this ribosomal RNA (439 nucleotides) under uncultured bacterium. Its description in RNAcentral is "partial 16S ribosomal RNA". It matches the Rfam family "Bacterial small subunit ribosomal RNA", at positions 339 to 795 of the family's 1533-position model. The record is from RNAcentral.